RNAcentral lists this ribosomal RNA (256 nucleotides) under uncultured bacterium. Its description in RNAcentral is "partial 16S ribosomal RNA". It matches the Rfam family "Bacterial small subunit ribosomal RNA", at positions 521 to 776 of the family's 1533-position model. The record is from RNAcentral.
UAAUACGGAGGGAGCUAGCGUUGUUCGGAAUUACUGGGCGUAAAGCGUGCGUAGGCGGUUAUUCAAGUCAGAGGUGAAAGCCCGGGGCUCAACCCCGGAACUGCCUUUGAAACUAGAUAGCUAGAAUCUUGGAGAGGUCAGUGGAAUUCCGAGUGUAGAGGUGAAAUUCGUAGAUAUUCGGAAGAACACCAGUGGCGAAGGCGACUGACUGGACAAGCAUUGACGCUGAGGCACGAAAGCGUGGGGAGCAAACAGG